Grammomys surdaster is the source of this 102-nucleotide small nuclear RNA. NCBI's taxonomy places the organism in Eukaryota, Metazoa, Chordata, Mammalia, Rodentia, Muridae. The record is from RefSeq and is a predicted model, not a curated record.
UUGCUUCAGCAGUAGACUGACUGAAACUGGAAGGAUAUUGAGAAGACCGGCACAGCCCUAGUGCAAGGGGACACACGAACUAGUGAAGCAUUCCAUACUUUU